This 164-nucleotide small nuclear RNA is filed under the name Carlito syrichta (Philippine tarsier). RNAcentral describes it as "U1 spliceosomal RNA (ENSTSYG00000025891.1)". It matches the Rfam family "U1 spliceosomal RNA". From Rfam's summary of the family: U1 is a small nuclear RNA (snRNA) component of the spliceosome (involved in pre-mRNA splicing). Its 5' end forms complementary base pairs with the 5' splice junction, thus defining the 5' donor site of an intron. Lineage: Eukaryota; Metazoa; Chordata; Mammalia; Primates; Tarsiidae. The record is from Rfam by way of RNAcentral.
AUACUUACCUGGGAGGGGAGAUACCGUGAUCACGAAAGUGGUUCUCCCAGGGCGAGGCUUAUCCAUUGCACUCCGGAUGUGCUGACCCCUGCGAUUUCCCCAAAUGUGGGAAACUCGACUGCAUAAUUUGUGGUAGUGGGGGACUGCGUUCGCGCUCUCCCCUA